ACGAUUACCUGUUCAAGCUGCUGCUGAUCGGGGACUCGGGGGUGGGGAAGACCUGUGUCCUGUUCCGCUUCUCCGAGGACGCCUUCAACUCCACUUUUAUCUCCACCAUAGGAAUUGACUUUAAAAUUAGGACCAUAGAGCUCGAUGGCAAGAGAAUUAAACUGCAGAUAUGGGACACGGCCGGUCAGGAACGGUUUCGGACGAUCACAACGGCCUACUACAGGGGUGCAAUGGGCAUCAUGCUGGUCUACGACAUCACCAACGAGAAGUCCUUCGACAACAUCCGGAACUGGAUUCGCAACAUUGAGGAGGUGAGGCCCUCCGGCUCCUCCCACUGUCCCUGCUUCAGUCCUUGUCCCAGAGCCCUCUGGUUUACUCAUGAGAAGGCCAAGGUGCAGAGACACAUACAGGCCACUUGCCCACAGCCUCCUAGUCAGGGACAUGGUGGGAGCAGGGACUGAGAUGCAAGCAGCCGGCCCCAGGGACCACACGCUGGCCUGGCCCCACCCCAGAGCCCCUCGGAGCCCAUCCCUCCAGCUAGGCUGUUGGAUCUGGCCAGUGUCAUGGUCAUAAGAGAAAGGAUAUCCAAGCUUGUGGUCACCGUGAGUGUUGGGUGCUUUCUAGAGAAGGAAGGGUCUAGCACAGGUGUGACCCUUGUAGUUGGAGGGUGUGGUGAGCAGGCGUCAGUUGUACUUUGAGCUAUAUUGGAGCAGGGUGUGACCUGGUACAAACGACCUGUGUUCAGACCUUGAACCAUAGAGCAGUGAGAAGGAGGCCAACCCCUCCUCCCCUCCCAAAGCCAGCAUCUUCAUCUUCUGCUCCCCAAAGAGCUGACCUCACCCCCAAAGCCUUCCUGGCUGCCGGCACCUGCAGCUUUCUAUAACUAACCAGGUGGGGCUUCAGGUCUGAGGCACAGUCAGAGAACUUUUCCCAUCUAUAAAACCACAGCAAAAGGGCAUAUCACUGUCCACCCAGGACUCAUGGACCUCCCAGGCCAGGCUGAGAGGCCACCCCAUCAUUUGUGAGUCAUUGCACUGGGCUCACCUCCCCAGUGACCCUGAGAGGGCUGUGCUGCCAAAUUUGCCAGUGCAGGGCUGCACCCCAGCUGGGAAAGCUGUCUUUAUCCGUGGAGAGGAGGAGAGCCUGGUCUUUGUGAAAGGUCUCUGUUUCUGGCCAGCGGGCAGGAGCCACCUUCUGGUUCAUGGGAAGUGAGGCAGGGAGUGGCGCAGUAGGUUCCAGAGACCAAGUCUGAGCUGGUGGAAGAAGACAGCAGUUUCCAGUGUCCCUGUCCUCCAGGAAGCGUGGUCCGCUCCAUGGGGACCCAGGGAGACUUGACGAAGGAGCUGCCUUUGGGUAUGAGGGCAGAGUUUGGGCAACAUCAGACAGGGUGGUGAAGUGCCUGCAGCUGGUGACGGCCUCGAGUUGCGACCACCUCAGGCACGGCCUGUUUCUGGAGCCCAAAAAGAGUUGAAAUGUCAGGGCCAGGCGAGGUGGUUUACGCCUGUAAUCCCAGCACUUUGGGAGGCUGAGGCGGGCAGAUCACCUGAGGUCAGAAGUUCGAGACCAGCCUGGCCAACAUGGCGAAACUCUGUCUCUACUAGAAAUACAAAAAAUUAGCCUGGUAUGGUGGCAGAUGCCUGUAAUCUCAGCUAUUCGGGAGGUUGAGGAUCGCUUGAACCUGAAGGCAGAGGUUGCAGUGAGCCGAGAUCAUGCCACUACACUUCAGCCUGGGAGACAGAACGAGACUCCAUCUC
RNAcentral lists this small RNA (1754 nucleotides) under Pan troglodytes (chimpanzee). RNAcentral describes it as "retained intron". Lineage: Eukaryota; Metazoa; Chordata; Mammalia; Primates; Hominidae. The record is from RNAcentral.